This 253-nucleotide ribosomal RNA is filed under the name uncultured bacterium. Its description in RNAcentral is "partial 16S ribosomal RNA". It matches the Rfam family "Bacterial small subunit ribosomal RNA", at positions 524 to 776 of the family's 1533-position model. The record is from RNAcentral.
UACGGGGGGGGCAAGCGUUGUUCGGAAUUACUGGGCGUAAAGGGCUCGUAGGCGGCCAACUAAGUCGGAUGUGAAAUCCCCAGGCUUAACCUGGGAACUGCAUCCGAUACUGGAUGGCUUGAAUCCGGGAGAGGGAUGCAGAAUUCCAGGUGUAGCGGUGAAAUGCGUAGAUAUCUGGAGGAAUACCGGUGGCGAAGGCGGCAUCCUGGACCGGCAUUGACGCUGAGACACGAAAGCGUGGGUAGCAAACAGG